Molecule: transfer RNA, 83 nt
Filed under: Canis lupus familiaris (dog)
Lineage: Eukaryota; Metazoa; Chordata; Mammalia; Carnivora; Canidae
Also listed under: 2 other names
Rfam family: tRNA
About the family: Transfer RNA (tRNA) molecules are approximately 80 nucleotides in length. Their secondary structure includes four short double-helical elements and three loops (D, anti-codon, and T loops).
Source: Rfam by way of RNAcentral
GCCUGGGUGGCUCAGUGAUGGAGCAUCUGCCUUUGGCUCAGGGCGUGAUCCUGGGGUUUUGGGAUCAAGUCCCACAUCAGGCU